GUUGAACGCUGGCGGCAUGCUUUACACAUGCAAGUCGAACGGUAACAGAUUAAGCUGACGAGUGGCGAACGGGUGAGUAAUGCAUCGGAACGUGCCCGGUCGGGGGGGAUAACGCAGCGAAAGCUGCGCUAAUACCGCAUACGAUCUGAGGAUGAAAGCGGGGGACCGUAAGGCCUCGCGCGAUCGGAGCGGCCGAUGUCAGAUUAGGUAGUUGGUGGGGUAAAGGCUCACCAAGCCAACGAUCUGUAGCUGGUCUGAGAGGACGACCAGCCACACUGGGACUGAGACACGGCCCAGACUCCUACGGGAGGCAGCAGUGGGGAAUUUUGGACAAUGGGCGAAAGCCUGAUCCAGCAAUGCCGCGUGCAGGAAGAAGGCCUUCGGGUUGUAAACUGCUUUUGUACGGAGCGAAAAGGUCUCCUCUAAUACAGGGGGCUCAUGACGGUACCGUAAGAAUAAGCACCGGCUAACUACGUGCCAGCCGCCGCUGUAA
This 493-nucleotide ribosomal RNA is filed under the name uncultured bacterium. Its description in RNAcentral is "partial 16S ribosomal RNA". It matches the Rfam family "Bacterial small subunit ribosomal RNA", at positions 28 to 523 of the family's 1533-position model. The record is from RNAcentral.